RNAcentral lists this ribosomal RNA (971 nucleotides) under Escherichia coli. RNAcentral's name for it is "partial 23S ribosomal RNA". It matches the Rfam family "Bacterial large subunit ribosomal RNA", at positions 614 to 1589 of the family's 2925-position model. Lineage: Bacteria; Pseudomonadati; Pseudomonadota; Gammaproteobacteria; Enterobacterales; Enterobacteriaceae. The record is from RNAcentral.
AAUGGGUCAGCGACUUAUAUUCUGUAGCAAGGUUAACCGAAUAGGGGAGCCGAAGGGAAACCGAGUCUUAACUGGGCGUUAAGUUGCAGGGUAUAGACCCGAAACCCGGUGAUCUAGCCAUGGGCAGGUUGAAGGUUGGGUAACACUAACUGGAGGACCGAACCGACUAAUGUUGAAAAAUUAGCGGAUGACUUGUGGCUGGGGGUGAAAGGCCAAUCAAACCGGGAGAUAGCUGGUUCUCCCCGAAAGCUAUUUAGGUAGCGCCUCGUGAAUUCAUCUCCGGGGGUAGAGCACUGUUUCGGCAAGGGGGUCAUCCCGACUUACCAACCCGAUGCAAACUGCGAAUACCGGAGAAUGUUAUCACGGGAGACACACGGCGGGUGCUAACGUCCGUCGUGAAGAGGGAAACAACCCAGACCGCCAGCUAAGGUCCCAAAGUCAUGGUUAAGUGGGAAACGAUGUGGGAAGGCCCAGACAGCCAGGAUGUUGGCUUAGAAGCAGCCAUCAUUUAAAGAAAGCGUAAUAGCUCACUGGUCGAGUCGGCCUGCGCGGAAGAUGUAACGGGGCUAAACCAUGCACCGAAGCUGCGGCAGCGACACUAUGUGUUGUUGGGUAGGGGAGCGUUCUGUAAGCCUGUGAAGGUGUACUGUGAGGUAUGCUGGAGGUAUCAGAAGUGCGAAUGCUGACAUAAGUAACGAUAAAGCGGGUGAAAAGCCCGCUCGCCGGAAGACCAAGGGUUCCUGUCCAACGUUAAUCGGGGCAGGGUGAGUCGACCCCUAAGGCGAGGCCGAAAGGCGUAGUCGAUGGGAAACAGGUUAAUAUUCCUGUACUUGGUGUUACUGCGAAGGGGGGACGGAGAAGGCUAUGUUGGCCGGGCGACGGUUGUCCCGGUUUAAGCGUGUAGGCUGGUUUUCCAGGCAAAUCCGGAAAAUCAAGGCUGAGGCGUGAUGACGAGGCACUACGGUGCUGAA